This 433-nucleotide ribosomal RNA is filed under the name uncultured bacterium. RNAcentral's name for it is "partial 16S ribosomal RNA". It matches the Rfam family "Bacterial small subunit ribosomal RNA", at positions 29 to 507 of the family's 1533-position model. The record is from RNAcentral.
AACGAACGCUGGCGGCAUGCCUAACACAUGCAAGUCGAACGAAACCUUCGGGUCUAUUGGCGCACGGGUGCGUAACGCGUGGGAACCUGCCCUUAGGUUCGGAAUAACUCCCCGAAAGGGGUGCUAAUACCGGAUAAUGUCUUCGGACCAAAGAUUUAUCGCCUUUGGAUGGGCCCGCGUUGGAUUAGCUAGUUGUUAGGGUAAAAGCCUACCAAGGCGACGAUCCAUAGCUGGUCUGAGAGGAUGAUCAGCCACACUGGGACUGAGAAACGGCCCAGACUCCUACGGGAGGCAGCAGUGGGGAAUAUUGGAACAUGGGCGAAAGCAUGAUCCACCACUGACGGGUGAGUGAUGAAGGCAUUAGGGUUGUAAAGCUCUUUUACCCGGGAUGAUAAUGACAGUACCGGGAGAAUAAGCUCCGGCUAACUCCGUG